AUUUUAAUAGCUUAUAUAGAGCAUAAUAUUGAAGAUAUUAAUGAGAAUAAAUUUCUUAAAAUA
RNAcentral lists this transfer RNA (63 nucleotides) under Atkinsoniella thalia. RNAcentral describes it as "tRNA-Phe". The record is from RNAcentral. RNAcentral also lists the same sequence under 4 other names. Lineage: Eukaryota; Metazoa; Arthropoda; Insecta; Hemiptera; Cicadellidae.